AUGGGGGUCUUCUCGGCAUUCAAGGCCCCCGCAGACCCGAAGGGAGCGGCUGGAGAGCCCGGGAGCGAGAGUUCUCAGGUCUGGGCGCCCCAAGGCCCCGCGGGGAGCCGGUGGGGGAGGGAGGGGUCCCCGCGUAGCCCCGUCCGGACCCCGCACGCUUCCCACCACCCCCGCCCCGUGCCCUCAGGCCCCGGCCCCGCGCCCCCGCCGCCGCCCCCCUCCGGCUCCCGCCGCCACUCGCCGCGGCCCGACCGGUGCCCCGGAGGGGGACCCGGCCCCCGGCCCCGCCCGCGGGCGGGAGGAGCGAGGCGCGGGGAGGGAGCGCGCCCACACCCCGCCCCCGCCCCCGGAGCCAGCCCGCGGAGCCCGCGGCCAGGGCGGCGCAGACCGGCCCAGCCACUCGCCCGGGCUGCGCGCCGGGACGCGCCCGCCACCGCCCCUGCCGCGGCGUCCGCCCCCGGCCCCGGCCCCGGCCCCCGGGCUCGCCGAGAGAAGGUAACCGCGCGCCGGGGGGCGUGGACGCCGGCGGGGGGCUGCACCCUCCUAGGCGCCCGGGGGCCGGGCCGGGGGGCGGGGGCGGGGGCGGCCAGCCGGGGACGGCGCCCCCGGGUGCCUGGGGGAGGCCCGGCGCCCAGGCCGCGGGAGCGGCGCGGGGUCCCUGCAAGUUCGGGGACGGGGCUUCGCGCGGCCCCCGGCGGGCGCAGAGCUGCGGCGGCGAGCGGGAGCGCGGACGGCGGAGGAGGGGGCGAGCGGGGGCCGUCUACGCUCCUUCCUGCCCCCCGAGAGGAAGGGAAGGCAGGGGAGGGGGCGGUGGGCCGGAAUGUCGGGCCCCUCGGCGAGGCCGGCGCGGAGAGCGGGAAGUGGGGGGCGGGAGGGCCCGCUGGGGAGAGGGACCAGGCACCCUGCCCCCUCCCCACCCGCCGCAUUCCUGGCCGAGCGGCGGAUGAGGUCAUCCCGUCCGGUUCCCCUCGGGCCACGGCAGCCGGCUGUCCCCUGCCCCCGCCGAUCGACCCUCCCCAGGCUAACCCCCUGCCUCCCGGAGGGAAUGUUUUAUGGCCAGAGUCUUUCCGGGACUUCCAGUCCGGACGGGCCUCGGGAUUGUCCAGUCCUUGCCUCAACCAUGCUAGACCCGCAUGGAAGCCCGGAGCCCAUUUUCUAGACGGGAAAACUGAGGCCUAG
Molecule: long non-coding RNA, 1179 nt
Filed under: Canis lupus familiaris (dog)
Lineage: Eukaryota; Metazoa; Chordata; Mammalia; Carnivora; Canidae
Description: lncRNA (ENSCAFG00030010369.1)
Source: RNAcentral